GAUGAACGCUGGCGGCGUGCCUAAUACAUGCAAGUCGAGCGAACAGACGAGGAGCUUGCUCCUCUGACGUUAGCGGCGGACGGGUGAGUAACACGUGGAUAACCUACCUAUAAGACUGGGAUAACUUCGGGAAACCGGAGCUAAUACCGGAUAAUAUAUUGAACCGCAUGGUUCAAUAGUGAAAGACGGUUUUGCUGUCACUUAUAGAUGGAUCCGCGCCGCAUUAGCUAGUUGGUAAGGUAACGGCUUACCAAGGCAACGAUGCGUAGCCGACCUGAGAGGGUGAUCGGCCACACUGGAACUGAGACACGGUCCAGACUCCUACGGGAGGCAGCAGUAGGGAAUCUUCCGCAAUGGGCGAAAGCUUGACGGAGCAACGCCGCGGGAGUGAUGAAGGUCUGCGGAUCGUAAAACUCUGUUAUUAGGGAAGAACAAAUGUGUAAGUAACUAUGCACGUCUUGACGGUACCUAAUCAGAAAGCCACGGCUAACUAC
RNAcentral lists this ribosomal RNA (494 nucleotides) under uncultured bacterium. Its description in RNAcentral is "partial 16S ribosomal RNA". It matches the Rfam family "Bacterial small subunit ribosomal RNA", at positions 28 to 504 of the family's 1533-position model. The record is from RNAcentral.